RNAcentral lists this ribosomal RNA (404 nucleotides) under uncultured bacterium. RNAcentral describes it as "bacterial SSU rRNA". It matches the Rfam family "Bacterial small subunit ribosomal RNA", at positions 355 to 776 of the family's 1533-position model. The record is from RNAcentral.
UGGGGAAUAUUGCACAAUGGGGGAAACCCUGAUGCAGCGACGCCGCGUGAGUGAAGAAGUAUUUCGGUAUGUAAAGCUCUAUCAGCAGGGAAGAUGAUGACGGUACCUGACUAAGAAGCCCCGGCUAACUACGUGCCAGCAGCCGCGGUAAUACGUAGGGGGCAAGCGUUAUCCGGAUUUACUGGGUGUAAAGGGAGCGUAGACGGCAUGGCAAGUCUGGAGUGAAAGCCCGGGGCUCAACCGCGGGACUGCUUUGGAAACUGUUAAGCUGGAGUGCAGGAGAGGUAAGUGGAAUUCCUAGUGUAGCGGUGAAAUGCGUAGAUAUUAGGAGGAACACCAGUGGCGAAGGCGGCUUACUGGACUGUAACUGACGUUGAGGCUCGAAAGCGUGGGGAGCAAACAGG